Molecule: unclassified non-coding RNA, 279 nt
Filed under: Hevea brasiliensis (rubber tree)
Lineage: Eukaryota; Viridiplantae; Streptophyta; Magnoliopsida; Malpighiales; Euphorbiaceae
Source: RNAcentral
ACCCAAUCCACCAGGCCACCACUACAAAAAGAAGGUAAAAAAUCUCCGAUAACAGAGAUUGAAAAUUUUCAUUUAUUUAUUGUUUCAUAUUUUCAUGUAUACUUUAACUUGCAUCACAUGUACAUGCAACCAACUUAAAAAGAAAAAUAUGAACAUUUAUCCUGUGAAUGAAAUGGAGAUGGCUAACACAAAAUUAAUCCAUGCUAACACAAAAUUAAUCCAUCUCAAGUAAUGUGGUCAGACUCUAAUCAAAAUGUUUACUCACUUUGCUUGAAGUUA